AAAAUGAUGAUGACAGGGAAUAGUAGGUGACUAGUGCCGGGUUCAGAGAUCUGCCGUUUGGUGUGAGGCAGACGAAGGCCAGCGCUGAACUCUCCUUGGAGUAGCCGACCAAAAGUAAAGGGGUGUACUUUGCGAGUAGGCUCGGACGGGGCUUCUACCGUUAAAAGGAAGGGGAUAUCGGAUAUUAAUCCCGUAUCUUACGAGGAGGACGGCUUCAUGUCGUCAAUUUGAGUGGUAUCGCGAAGCUAACCCUUCGUCUCAAGA
RNAcentral lists this non-coding RNA (264 nucleotides) under Desulfofarcimen acetoxidans. Its description in RNAcentral is "Desulfotomaculum acetoxidans T-box sequence". It matches the Rfam family "T-box leader". From Rfam's summary of the family: Uncharged tRNA acts as the effector for transcription antitermination of genes in the T-box leader family. T-boxes are found upstream of many aminoacyl-tRNA synthetase genes and some amino acid biosynthetic genes usually in Gram-positive bacteria. The record is from RNAcentral. Lineage: Bacteria; Bacillati; Bacillota; Clostridia; Eubacteriales; Peptococcaceae.